Molecule: ribosomal RNA, 372 nt
Filed under: uncultured bacterium
Lineage: Bacteria
Description: bacterial SSU rRNA
Rfam family: Bacterial small subunit ribosomal RNA
Source: RNAcentral
GACGAACGCUGGCGGCGUGCUUAACACAUGCAAGUGGAGCGACGAACCAGGCUUCGGCCUGGGGCAGAGCCGCGAACGGGUGAGUAACACGUGGGUAACCUGCCCUGAUGAUCGGGACAACCCGGGGAAACCCGGGCUAAUACCGAAUGUGCUGCUCUCGCAUCAGUGAGAGUAGGAAAGGAAGCUUCGGCCUCCGCAUCAGGAUGGGCCCGCGGCCCAUUAGCUGUUGGUGAGGUAACGGCUCACCAAGGCUUCGAUCGGUAGCUGGUCUGAGAGGAUGACCAGCCACACUGGGACUGAGACACGGCCCAGACUCCUACGGGAGGCAGCAGUGGGAAUAUUGGACAAUGGGCGCAAGCCUGAUCCAGCCAU